Long non-coding RNA from Myotis davidii, 87 nucleotides. RefSeq lists it as uncharacterized. Lineage: Eukaryota; Metazoa; Chordata; Mammalia; Chiroptera; Vespertilionidae. The transcript has 3 exons. The record is from RefSeq and is a predicted model, not a curated record.
AAAAAUUUCCCAUCAAGUUUCUUAAAAAUAUUACUACUUUGGGAAUGCCGUAUCAUAAAUUAGAAUUGAAAUUUUAUUCAUUUGAAG